This 141-nucleotide ribosomal RNA is filed under the name Escherichia coli. Its description in RNAcentral is "partial 16S ribosomal RNA". The stretch from base 71 to 141 matches the Rfam family "Bacterial small subunit ribosomal RNA", at positions 1 to 71 of the family's 1533-position model. The record is from RNAcentral. Lineage: Bacteria; Pseudomonadati; Pseudomonadota; Gammaproteobacteria; Enterobacterales; Enterobacteriaceae.
UUAAAUUGAAGAGUUUGAUCAUGGCUCAGAUUGAACGCUGGCGGCAGGCCUAACACAUGCAAGUCGAACGGUAUUGAAGAGUUUGAUCAUGGCUCAGAUUGAACGCUGGCGGCAGGCCUAACACAUGCAAGUCGAACGGUA